Cuculus canorus (common cuckoo) is the source of this 651-nucleotide long non-coding RNA. RefSeq lists it as uncharacterized. The transcript is spliced from 3 exons. The record is from RefSeq and is a predicted model, not a curated record. Lineage: Eukaryota; Metazoa; Chordata; Aves; Cuculiformes; Cuculidae.
CAUUUCUGCUUUAAUAGGAAGGAUGAUAUUAAAACCAAGAAAAAUAAAAACAACUGCGUCAUAAUAGGAUAUUUUUGAGUCAGUUUGUGGUGUAAAUUAAACCUUUGUAAUACUGCUGACCUCUGUCUCGUUGUAACAAAAGGGGAAAGCAGCAGGCACUAUAUGACUCAUUUUACCUCCCACUGCAUGCCUGUAUUUUUCACCAGGCCCAGUUUAAGGUGUGGAGAAGGAACAUUAACACUUUACUGUACAGGAAUUCUGCCUGAUCCUCGACUGGUGUGCAGGACAAGCAGCUUCUGCCUUGCAACAGGUGAUGCUUCACAAAUCCAAUGUAAUGAAGCGAUGGGUAGAAGUUAUCUUUCUAAAUCAACAGAUUUAUUCCUGUGCUCCUGAAAUAGUUUUCUUUGUGCUUAGAUCUGCAUUAUUUCACCAGCAGUGCAUGAAAGCAUCACUAGUAGGAGAUGAGAAGGUAGAAACUUAAGACAGUGAGAGCUCAAGAAACCAUUAUGUGUCCUCCAUCUUUCUGGGAAGCUGCUUAUCUUCAUCAUUUUUUGGGAAGACGCAAUUUAAUACAUUGAGCCAUUUCAGGAUUACUUUGAGUUCCUCGAGUUUUGUGUUUGGAAUCUACGUGUAAUAAUUAGCUGUAUGGGU